Long non-coding RNA from Oxyura jamaicensis (ruddy duck), 944 nucleotides. RefSeq lists it as uncharacterized. The transcript has 2 exons. NCBI's taxonomy places the organism in Eukaryota, Metazoa, Chordata, Aves, Anseriformes, Anatidae. The record is from RefSeq and is a predicted model, not a curated record.
GCACUGUUUUUCUAAGUUGAAUGUUACUCUUAAGUAUAGUUUUGUUUUCUGGAUGAGUUCUUAGUAAUUGGAACAUUCUUUAGGAAGAUGCAUUGCUUUUGUAUUGUAUACCAUGGUAUUCUUCACUACUUUUCCAACCAACAGCAAAAUUAUAGGUCAGAUAUUGUUGCUUAAAGCACUGGCUGAAGAUAUGCUCUCAAAAAACGGAAAAUAAAUGGCUUGAUUUGUGAAGAUAUAAUAAUAUAAUACAGUUUGUGAAAGAUAUGAUCUAACUGAAGAUGUGAACUUUAUAAAUUUAUUACAUUUUGAGACUAUAUUUUGACAAAUUUCUCAAAAAACUGCAAUGGCAGUAUAUUAUUGAAUACGAUGCUUUAGGCUAUCUGUGCAUUUUAGCAUUGACUCUUCUAGUUUCUUUCUCUCAUAGUCAAGCCACUGUAAUUUUUAAGACAGGAAGAUGUUUACUGUUUUAUUGUGGGUUUCAGCAUGAUGAUGGAGAUCUGUAGGAUGUUGUAGGAUUGCUAUCUGUAACUAGCAGCAUGUCCUGUGUUGACAAUCCUAAAGGUUUUGUUUCCCCUUUGUUUAAAUGCAAAUUCACAGAUAUGCACACAGACCAAAAGUAAUGGGUUUUGUUAUUCUUAGCAUGUUUAUACGUUUUUGUCACUAUUCAUAUUGGAUGCACUUUUGAGUAUAUUGGGAUAAUUGUGAGGGCGGACUGUCAUCAUGGUCUGUAAAUGCUAUAAGUUAGUUUUGAUAUGAAAUUUGGGGUGUUAUCAACCAUUAACAGCUAGCAGUGAGGCUAUAAUUCCAUAAGCUGCUGCAUCACUGAAAAGAGCAGCAAAGGUUUUUGAUUUUCACAUUUAGGGGUUGUAGAGAUUCUUUCACAAAAUUUAUUAAGCCAUUAGAUCACCUGAGAUUAUAUCUUCCUGUUUCUGAAGUAAUGUUUU